Molecule: ribosomal RNA, 484 nt
Filed under: uncultured soil bacterium
Lineage: Bacteria
Description: bacterial SSU rRNA
Rfam family: Bacterial small subunit ribosomal RNA
Source: RNAcentral
AGAUUGAACGCUGGCGGCAGGCCUAACACAUGCAAGUCGAGCGGCAGCACGGGUACUUGUACCUGGUGGCGAGCGGCGGACGGGUGAGUAAUGCCUAGGAAUCUGCCUGGUAGUGGGGGAUAACGCUCGGAAACGGACGCUAAUACCGCAUACGUCCUACGGGAGAAAGCAGGGGACCUUCGGGCCUUGCGCUAUCAGAUGAGCCUAGGUCGGAUUAGCUAGUUGGUGAGGUAAUGGCUCACCAAGGCGACGAUCCGUAACUGGUCUGAGAGGAUGAUCAGUCACACUGGAACUGAGACACGGUCCAGACUCCUACGGGAGGCAGCAGUGGGGAAUAUUGGACAAUGGGCGAAAGCCUAGAUCCAGCCAAUGCCGCGUGUGUGAAGAAGGUCUUCGGAUUGUAAAGCACUUUAAGUGGAGGAAGGCAGUUACCUAAUACGUAUCUGUUUGACGUUACGACAGAAUAAGCACCGCUAACUCUGUG